ACAACAUAUCAAGUGGUAAAGUGAGAGAAGAAAGUAAAUGUAAUUAUAAU
This 50-nucleotide non-coding RNA is filed under the name Trypanosoma brucei brucei. The record is from RNAcentral. Lineage: Eukaryota; Euglenozoa; Kinetoplastea; Trypanosomatida; Trypanosomatidae.